This 497-nucleotide ribosomal RNA is filed under the name uncultured bacterium. Its description in RNAcentral is "partial 16S ribosomal RNA". It matches the Rfam family "Bacterial small subunit ribosomal RNA", at positions 28 to 507 of the family's 1533-position model. The record is from RNAcentral.
GACGAACGCUGGCGGCGUGCCUAAUACAUGCAAGUAGAACGCUGAAGAGAGGAGCUUGCUCUUCUUGGGUGAGUGGCGAACGGGUGAGUAACACGUAGGUAACCUGCCUUGUAGCGGGGGAUAACUAAUGGAAACGAUAGCUAAUACCGCAUAACAAUGGGUGCAACAUGUAAUUAAGAUGAAAGGAGCAGUUGCUCCACUACAUGGUGGACCUGCGUCGUAUUAGCUAGUAGGUGAGGUAAUGGCUCACCGAGGGGAAGGUACCUAGCCGGCCUGAGGGGGUGGUCGGCCCCGUCGGGACGGGUGACCGGCCCCGACUCCUCCGGGACGCAGCCGUAAGGCAUCCUCGGCAAAGGGGGGAACCCUGACCGAGCAACGCCCGGGGGGUUGAUAAAGUUUUCCGGUCGGCAAGCUCGGUUUUUUGGCAAGGACGAGUGUUAGAGUGGAAAGUGCACCCUGUGACGGUAGCUAACCAGAAAGUGACGGCUAACUACGUG